Long non-coding RNA from Herpailurus yagouaroundi (jaguarundi), 1952 nucleotides. RefSeq lists it as uncharacterized. The transcript is spliced from 3 exons. NCBI's taxonomy places the organism in Eukaryota, Metazoa, Chordata, Mammalia, Carnivora, Felidae. The record is from RefSeq and is a predicted model, not a curated record.
CGCCAGCCGGGGUGGAUCGGGGAGGACCGGCCGGGGCAGGGCGCUGACACUGGAGACGCAAAGUGCGCUCCCAGGGCGCCGCCGGGUCGAGAGCCAAGAGGUCACCAUUCGAUGGACAGAGACCUCACGCACCACAGCCAUAUCUACCUGGGACCCUUCAUGAGAGGAAGGAUCCAAACGAACGCUGAUGAACUCCAAACCUUUCCUCCUUGGAAAGAUGGAUCGGGCCUUUUGUGAUGAGGCCUCAGAGGUCACAGGGUGUAACUUCUACCGGAACCACACGUCUGCCCAAGAUCAAGGACGGGAAACCAGUCCCACGCCGCGGGAUAACAAGAGCCCCGUGUCACAGUGAGGUUAUGUGGACGGCGUCCUUGCAGGCAUUUUUGGUAAAUGCAAUCCAUAGUGGGUCUCACCCCGCAUCUGAGGCGCACGCUUAUAACACUAAUACCCUCGAGGGAAGUAGCCUGUUCAAUAUGAGGCGGAAGAAACCGUCGGGUUUUUAACUGGGAGCAGGAAAACUUGGAAGGAGCUCGGGCAACUUGGCUGCAUUUCCUGGUCUCCCCGGAGCCAUCAUCUCCGUCUCUGGAAAAUAUUUACCUUCGGCCGAGGAGGCGGCUCAGUCGUGGACGGGGGUGGUGAGGUCCCCACGUCUCUCUCGGGGGGGAGGACGGAUUUCAGAGGGAGCCGGUCACCCCGCUCGGCAAGGAGCUGCUUGGGCCGUAGGAAACCUAAUGGGACAGAACACAGUCUAAUUUUCUGGGAGAGCCGCACAGCCUCCCUGCGAUUUUGCAUCCAAUGAGAGUUCCCAUCUGGGGCUCCCUCGCGGGCUGUUCGAAACUCCCGUGUAAGAGGCAGCUCUGUACAACCAGGCUCGCCUUGGCACGGGGACGGGCCGCGUCUGGGCAGGUGAGGCUGCCUGCUCGUGAGAUGCUGUCCCGCUGACUUGCCAAGGAGGGAAGGCACCGGCUGCCCCAAACGGGGUCCCGCACGGUCAGCGGAGGGCUCUGCUACAAGGUGAUGCCGGAUUGCUGCAGAGACAGCGAGGUGGCAACAUUAAAUAGAUACAGACUCCCGCCCAGACCCGCCUGGCCAAAAGGAUGACGAUAUUGGGGAUUCUCGUUACUAACACACGGCUUGAGAAAUGACGCACGGCCACCGUGGGACGGAUUGGCUUCCGGACUCACUCUUUCGUGUUCUUUGCUUAGUUCCUUUAUUACCUGUGUUUAUUGUCUAGUAAAUGGUUUGAAAUUAGAAAAAAAAAAAAAAAUCCCGAGAAGGGACAACGUUACAGUAGGAUAAAUCCUUCGAAGCGAAUGUAGAUCAACAAAGUCAACACCGGAGAUUUGCUUUUCCAAACGACACCGGGGCUGAAAUGGGACUUGAACCCCAGCGUCUCCAGACCCAAGGUCAACGUUGCCUCUGCUGCCUCCUGUUGAAUCUGUGAUGAACCCGCGUGCUCAAUUAUCGGUCAGCGGCCUUCCAAAGGUCCUGGGGAAGAUAUCCUGCCACUGAGAUGUCCCCCGGGAUUGGGCAUGAUCACUGAUGCAGAGACUCCUCUCUGUGCCUGCCCCAGGCUCAUGGGAACCAACCCGUAUAUUCACUCCGUCUGGCUCGGUCCAUGACCCUGAGUCCGUCCGUGACCCUGAGUCCAAAUCCACUUGGAGAGAGAUGGAGACAGAAAAGGAGAUAGUGCAAAGUCCUAGAUUCUCAGAACACUGAGGAUCCCCCAGUGGGAUGAGCAGACUCUGAUGUGGUCAAUGCCUCCCUGGGACUUUGCAGCAGGAAUACUGAUGAAGAUGGAAAAUUGCAUGCUUACAGCCACUGGGAAUAUUUUGAGCCAGGCUGCGACGUUUAAACUGAAUGCGAUCUCUAAACAUAGCACAUCGAUGUCCCCAAGCCAAAGCGGCCCAUCUGUAGCAGAAACAGCAACUUCUACUUAAUGACGCUUAAGC